AGCUUGUUGGCGGGGUAACGGCCCACCAAGGCAACGAUCAGUAGGGGUUCUGAGAGGAAGGUCCCCCACAUUGGAACUGAGACACGGUCCAAACUCCUACGGGAGGCAGCAGUGAGGAAUAUUGGUCAAUGGGCGAGAGCCUGAACCAGCCAAGUAGCGUGCAGGAAGACGGCCCUAUGGGUUGUAAACUGCUUUUAUAAGGGAAUAAAGUGAGUCUCGUGAGACUUUUUGCAUGUACCUUAUGAAUAAGGACCGGCUAAUUCCGUGCCAGCAGCCGCGGUAAUACGGAAGGUCCGGGCGUUAUCCGGAUUUAUUGGGUUUAAAGGGAGCGUAGGCCGGAGAUUAAGCGUGUUGUGAAAUGUAGACGCUCAACGUCUGCACUGCAGCGCGAACUGGUUUCCUUGAGUACGCACAAAGUGGGCGGAAUUCGUGGUGUAGCGGUGAAAUGCUUAGAUAUCACGAAGAACUCCGAUUGCGAAGGCAGCUCACUGGAGCGCAACUGACGCUGAAGCUCGAAAGUGCGGGUAUCGAACAGGAUUAGAUACCCUGGUAGUCCGCACGGUAAACGAUGGAUGCCCGCUGUUGGUCUGAACAGGUCAGCGGCCAAGCGAAAGCAUUAAGCAUCCCACCUGGGGAGUACGCCGGCAACGGUGAAACUCAAAGGAAUUGACGGGGGCCCGCACAAGCGGAGGAACAUGUGGUUUAAUUCGAUGAUACGCGAGGAACCUUACCCGGGCUUGAAUUGCAGAGGAAGGAUUUGGAGACAAUGACGCCCUUCGGGGUCUCUGUGAAGGUGCUGCAUGGUUGUCGUCAGCUCGUGCCGUGAGGUGUCGGCUUAAGUGCCAUAACGAGCGCAACCCCUCUCCUUAGUUGCCAUCAGGUUAAGCUGGGCACUCUGGGGACACUGCCACCGUAAGGUGUGAGGAAGGUGGGGAUGACGUCAAAUCAGCACGGCCCUUACGUCCGGGGCUACACACGUGUUACAAUGGCAGGUACAGAGAGACGGUUGUACGUAAGUACGAUCAAAUCCUUAAAGCCUGUCUCAGUUCGGACUGGGGUCUGCAACCCGACCCCACGAAGCUGGAUUCGCUAGUAAUCGCGCAUCAGCCAUGGCGCGGUGAAUACGUUCCCGGGCCUUGUACACACCGCCCGUCAAGCCAUGAAAGCCGGGGGCGCCUAAAGUCCGUGACCGUAAGGAGCGGCCUAGGGCGAAACUGGUAAUUGGGGCUAAGUCGUAACAAGGUA
RNAcentral lists this ribosomal RNA (1245 nucleotides) under metagenome. RNAcentral describes it as "bacterial SSU rRNA". It matches the Rfam family "Bacterial small subunit ribosomal RNA", at positions 243 to 1498 of the family's 1533-position model. The record is from RNAcentral.